RNAcentral lists this ribosomal RNA (253 nucleotides) under uncultured bacterium. Its description in RNAcentral is "partial 16S ribosomal RNA". It matches the Rfam family "Bacterial small subunit ribosomal RNA", at positions 524 to 776 of the family's 1533-position model. The record is from RNAcentral.
UACGUAGGGGGCAAGCGUUAUCCGGAUUUACUGGGUGUAAAGGGAGCGUAGACGGCGAUGCAAGCCAGAUGUGAAAGCCCGGGGCUCAACCCCGGGACUGCAUUUGGAACUGUAUAGCUAGAGUGUCGGAGAGGCAGGCGGAAUUCCUAGUGUAGCGGUGAAAUGCGUAGAUAUCAGGAGGAACACCGGUGGCGAAGGCGGCCUGCUGGACUGCAACUGACGUUGAGGCCCGAAAGCGUGGGGAGCAAACAGG